CAGCAGCCGCGGUAAUACGUAGGUGGCAAGCGUUGUCCGGAUUUAUUGGGCGUAAAGCGAGCGCAGGCGGUUCCUUAAGUCUGAUGUGAAAGCCCCCGGCUCAACCGGGGAGGGUCAUUGGAAACUGGGGAACUUGAGUGCAGAAGAGGAGAGUGGAAUUCCAUGUGUAGCGGUGAAAUGCGUAGAUAUAUGGAGGAACACCAGUGGCGAAGGCGACUCUCUGGUCUGUAACUGACGCUGAGGCUCGAAAGCGUGGGUAGCAAACAGGAUUAGAUACCCGUGUAGUCCCUGUCUCUUAUAU
This 301-nucleotide ribosomal RNA is filed under the name uncultured bacterium. RNAcentral's name for it is "partial 16S ribosomal RNA". It matches the Rfam family "Bacterial small subunit ribosomal RNA", at positions 509 to 809 of the family's 1533-position model. The record is from RNAcentral.